This 75-nucleotide non-coding RNA is filed under the name Streptococcus thermophilus CNRZ1066. The record is from RNAcentral. Lineage: Bacteria; Bacillati; Bacillota; Bacilli; Lactobacillales; Streptococcaceae.
AAAUCUAUGAGAAAAAGAAAAACUUCCUUUGUAUCUAGUGAUACGGCAGAAAGUUUCCUGUUUUCUCUCUGCUUU